GGCCAGACUCCUACGGGAGGCAGCAGUGGGGAAUAUUGCACAAUGGGGGAAACCCUGAUGCAGCGACGCCGCGUGAGUGAGGAAGUAUUUCGGUAUGUAAAGCUCUAUCAGCAGGGAAGAAAAUGACGGUACCUGACUAAGAAGCCCCGGCUAACUACGUGCCAGCAGCCGCGGUAAUACGUAGGGGGCAAGCGUUAUCCGGAUUUACUGGGUGUAAAGGGAGCGUAGACGGCUAAUCAAGUCAGAAGUGAAAACCCAGGGCUCAACUUUGGGACUGCUUUUGAAACUGAGUAGCUAGAGUGCAGGAGAGGUAAGCGGAAUUCCUAGUGUAGCGGUGAAAUGCGUAGAUAUUAGGAGGAGCACCGGUGGCGAAGGCGG
RNAcentral lists this ribosomal RNA (378 nucleotides) under uncultured bacterium. RNAcentral's name for it is "partial 16S ribosomal RNA". It matches the Rfam family "Bacterial small subunit ribosomal RNA", at positions 329 to 724 of the family's 1533-position model. The record is from RNAcentral.